RNAcentral lists this unclassified non-coding RNA (195 nucleotides) under plant metagenome. Its description in RNAcentral is "partial contains small subunit ribosomal RNA, internal transcribed spacer 1, and 5.8S ribosomal RNA". The record is from RNAcentral.
UCUCCGUUGGUGAACCAGCGGAGGGAUCAUUACCGAGUUUACAACUCCCAAACCCCUGUGAACAUACCAUUUGUUGCCUCGGCGGUGCCUGCUUCGGCAGCCCGCCAGAGGACCCAAACCCUUGAUUUUAUACAGUAUCUUCUGAGUAAAUGAUUAAAUAAAUCAAAACUUUCAACAACGGAUCUCUUGGCUCUG